Regulatory RNA element from Fictibacillus arsenicus, 107 nucleotides. It matches the Rfam family "PyrR binding site". From Rfam's summary of the family: This family represents the PyrR binding site and terminator structure. This RNA structure is found upstream of a variety of genes involved in pyrimidine biosynthesis and transport. The alignment also includes a portion of the antiterminator structure. Lineage: Bacteria; Bacillati; Bacillota; Bacilli; Caryophanales; Fictibacillaceae. The record is from Rfam.
UAGUCCUUUAACUUUAGUCCCGUGAGGCUGAGAAGGAAACGUUGUUAAAGAGAAUCCAACAGGGAUUACUCUAUCCUCUCGUCAUGCGUGACGGGAGGAUUUUUUUU